This 1286-nucleotide ribosomal RNA is filed under the name Phobaeticus serratipes. RNAcentral describes it as "l-rRNA". The stretch from base 1046 to 1204 matches the Rfam family "Bacterial large subunit ribosomal RNA", at positions 2473 to 2632 of the family's 2925-position model. Lineage: Eukaryota; Metazoa; Arthropoda; Insecta; Phasmatodea; Phasmatidae. The record is from RNAcentral.
UAAUUAUUUAUUUACUUUUUUUUCAUUUUUUAUUAUUUCUAAUUUGAAUUUCAUUAUUUUUUUUUUGUUUUAGUAUUAUUUUUAAUUAAUAUUUUUUGUUAUAGUUUAUUUGUACGGUUAAGGUUUAUUUUAAGAUUUAUUAAAAAUAGAUUUUUUAUUGUACCUUUUGUAUCAGGGUAGAUUAAAUUUUUAUUAAUUAUUUAUUUAUCUCGAAUUAAUUUGAUUUAUAUAUUUGUGUUAGUUAUGGUUGGAUAUUUAUUUAUUACAAAUGUAUAGAUGUGAUAUGCUAUUCAUAAAUUAAUAUAUCUAGUUUUCUAAUAAGUGAAUUUAAUUCAGUUAUUUUUAUUUAAGAAAUAUUUUUUAAUUAUUCUUAUUUAUUAAUAAUAAGGUUAUGGGGGAUUAGCUCUUUAAUUUUAUUAUAAUUUAUUUUAUUUGGAUGAUAUGUAGGUUUUGUAAUGACCAUUAUUUAUUAAUAUUUUAUAAUUUAUUAUUUUUUAUUUUUGAUUUAUUAUUAAUUUAAUAAUUUAUUUGAAUUAUUUAUUUAAUAUUUAUUUAUAUUAAUUAAUGAUUUAAUUAGUAUAUUUUUAUUUAUUUUGUUUAAAAUUUUUUAAUUUUUUUUAAGGAAUUAGGCAAAAUUAUUUAUUCGCCUGUUUAUCAAAAACAUCUUUUCUUGAUUUAAUUAUUUGAGAUUUAACCUGCUCUAUGAUUUAUUUAAUGGCCGCAGUAUUCUGACUGUGCAAAGGUAGCAUAAUCAUUAGUUCAUUAAUUGUGAACUUGUAUGAAUGGUUGGACGAAAUAUUUACUGUCUCAAUUAAAUAUAUUGAAUUUAAAUUUUGAGUUAAAAUGCUCAAUUGUUUUUAUAGGACGAGAAGACCCUAUAGAUCUUUAUUUUUAAUUUUAUUAUUUGUUUUAGUUUAUUUAUUUAUAAUAUUUUUAUAUUUUUGGUUGGGGUGACAUGGAGAUAAUAUUAACUCUCUAUUUUAUUUUACAUUUAUUUUUGAAUUAUUGACCUUGUAUUAUUGUUAUAAGAUUUAGAUACCUUAGGGAUAACAGCGUAAUUUUAUCUGAGAGUUCAUAUUGACGAUAUAGAUUGCGACCUCGAUGUUGAAUUAAGAUUAUAAUUAGGUGAAGUAGUUUAAUUAUUGGGUCUGUUCGACCUUUAAAUUCUUACAUGAUUUGAGUUCAGACCGGUGUGAGCCAGGUUGGUUUCUAUCCAUAAAAUUUUAAUUUAUAUUAGUACGAAAGGACCAUAUAUAUCAAAAAUUUUGUUUAUUUUGAUUUUAAUU